UCUAGAAGCUUCGGCAAUGGGGGGAAACCCUGACCGAGCGACGCCGCGUGCAGGAUGAAGGUCUUCGGAUCGUAAACUGCUUUCGCUGGGGGAGAAAUGCCUGGAGGUGAAUAAUCUUCAGGUUAGACGGUACCCAGUAAAGAAGCCCCGGCUAAGUCCGUGCCAGCAGCCGCGGUAAUACGGGCGGGGCGAGCGUUGUUCGGAUUCAUUGGGUGUAAAGGGUGCGAAGGCGGUCGUCUAAGUCGAAGGUGAAAUGUCUACGGCUCAACCGAGGCAUUGCCUCCGAUACUGGACGACUUGAGUGCGGAAGGGGAGCGUGGAAUUCCUGGUGUAGCGGUGAAAUGCGUAGAUAUCGAGGAGGAACACCGGUGGCGAAGGCGACGCUCGUGGUCCGCAACUGAC
RNAcentral lists this ribosomal RNA (402 nucleotides) under uncultured bacterium. RNAcentral describes it as "bacterial SSU rRNA". It matches the Rfam family "Bacterial small subunit ribosomal RNA", at positions 355 to 744 of the family's 1533-position model. The record is from RNAcentral.